This 89-nucleotide unclassified non-coding RNA is filed under the name Pseudomonas palleroniana. The record is from RNAcentral. Lineage: Bacteria; Pseudomonadati; Pseudomonadota; Gammaproteobacteria; Pseudomonadales; Pseudomonadaceae.
UGUGGGAGCGGGCUUGCUCGCGAAUGCGCAAUGUCAGUCGACCUCUCAUCGACUGACACGCCGCUAUCGCGAGCAAGCCCGCUCCCACA